AUCGUGUUACCUGCGGUGUGUAUCAGGCAGCAAGGAGACUAGAAGAAAGUUCAGACCACGUAAUGCUGUGUGUAUUGGCGGCGGACACCUUGGAUAACUUGGAGCUAUGUAUUCAUUUCACACUAUUAGAGGCAUACUGUUGGGAGAACGACAUACAAGUUAUUAAGGUUGAUUCGGCGACCAAGCUUGGAAAACUUCUUUUAGGCGACAGUCUUCCAGCAAAUGACAACGACUUCGCUGCUGGCCGC
Long non-coding RNA from Lingula anatina, 248 nucleotides. Lineage: Eukaryota; Metazoa; Brachiopoda; Lingulata; Lingulida; Lingulidae. The record is from RefSeq and is a predicted model, not a curated record.